GCGAAACAAGUCUCUGCAAAACAGUUCAUUUAACAUUAGUCAUUGUUUUAAUAAGCUGUAAGUAGAUUUAAAAAAAAAAUUACAUGGGCAAAUCUUAAAAUACUGGUUGAAUAAUAUAAAUACGUUAGAUAAAAUGAAACUCUUAUAUUAUGUUUUAAUAACAUUCGUCUUUUUAAAUGUUUCGGCAGAAAGAACGGACUCUUCAUAUAUAAGAACAGUUGCCAUUACAAACGCAUACAUCCAGUCAGCUUCUGACUAUAAUGAUGAUAUAGUAAAAAAUGGAUUGGAACAUGUAAUUGAACAAAUUGUUUCUGACGAUUGUUAUUCACUUGGUAA
Molecule: long non-coding RNA, 336 nt
Organism: Adelges cooleyi (spruce gall adelgid)
Lineage: Eukaryota; Metazoa; Arthropoda; Insecta; Hemiptera; Adelgidae
Exons: 5
Source: RefSeq, a predicted model, not a curated record